GGAUCGGUCUUAACGGUGCGUACGCUGCCUUACACAUGCAAGUCGAACGGUAACAGGUCUUCGGACGCUGACGAGUGGCGAACGGGUGAGUAAUACAUCGGAACGUGCCCAGUCGGGGGGGAUAACUACUCGAAAGAGUAGCUAAUACCGCAUACGAUCUGAGGAUGAAAGCGGGGGACCUUCGGGCCUCGCGCGAUUGGAGCGGCCGAUGGCAGAUUAGGUAGUUGGUGGGAUAAAAGCUUACCAAGCCGACGAUCUGUAGCUGGUCUGAGAGGACGACCAGCCACACUGGGACUGAGACACGGCCCAGACUCCUACGGGAGGCAGCAGUGGGGAAUUUUGGACAAUGGGCGAAAGCCUGAUCCAGCAAUGCCGCGUGCAGGAUGAAGGCCUUCGGGUUGUAAACUGCUUUUGUACGGAACGAAAAAGCUCCUUCUAAUACAGGGGGCCCAUGACGGUACCGUAAGAAUAAGCACCGGCUAACUACGUGCCAGCAGCCGCGGUAAUACGUAGGGUGCGAGCGUUAAUCGGAAUUACUGGGCGUAAAGCGUGCGCAGGCGGUUAUGUAAGACAGAUGUGAAAUCCCCGGGCUCAACCUGGGAACUGCAUUUGUGACUGCAUGGCUAGAGUACGGUAGAGGGGGAUGGAAUUCCGCGUGUAGCAGUGAAAUGCGUAGAUAUGCGGAGGAACACCGAUGGCGAAGGCAAUCCCCUGGACCUGUACUGACGCUCAUGCACGAAAGGCGUGGGGAGCAACAGGAUUAGAUACCUGGUAGUCCACGCCCUAACGAUGUCAACUGGUUGUUGGGAAUUAGUUUUCUCAGUAACGAAGCUAACGCGUGAAAGUUGACCGCCUGGGGAGUACGGCCCGCAGGGUUGAAACUCAAGGGAAUUGACGGGGACCCGCACAAGCGGGGGAUGAUGGUGGUUAAUUCAAUGCCAACGCGA
RNAcentral lists this ribosomal RNA (947 nucleotides) under Delftia tsuruhatensis. RNAcentral describes it as "bacterial SSU rRNA". It matches the Rfam family "Bacterial small subunit ribosomal RNA", at positions 21 to 964 of the family's 1533-position model. Lineage: Bacteria; Pseudomonadati; Pseudomonadota; Betaproteobacteria; Burkholderiales; Comamonadaceae. The record is from RNAcentral.